AGAGUUUGAUCAUGGCUCAAGAACGAACGCUGGCGGCAUGCCUAACACAUGCAAGUCGAACGAGACCUUCGGGUCUAGUGGCGCACGGGUGCGUAACGCGUGGGAAUCUGCCCUUUGCUUCGGAAUAACAGUUAGAAAUGACUGCUAAUACCGGAUGAUGUCUUCGGACCAAAGAUUUAUCGGCAAAGGAUGAGCCCGCGUAGGAUUAGGUAGUUGGUGGGGUAAAGGCCUACCAAGCCGACGAUCCUUAGCUGGUCUGAGAGGAUGAUCAGCCACACUGGGACUGAGACAUGGCCCAGACUCCUACGGGAGGCAGCAGUGGGGAAUAUUGGACAAUGGGCGCAAGCCUGAUCCAGCAAUGCCGCGUGAGUGAUGAAGGCCUUCGGGUCGUAAAGCUCUUUACCAGGGAUGAUAAUGACAGUACCUGGAGAAUAAGCUCCGGCUAACUCCGUG
Molecule: ribosomal RNA, 453 nt
Filed under: uncultured bacterium
Lineage: Bacteria
Description: bacterial SSU rRNA
Rfam family: Bacterial small subunit ribosomal RNA
Source: RNAcentral